RNAcentral lists this long non-coding RNA (4318 nucleotides) under Homo sapiens (human). RNAcentral's name for it is "non-protein coding lnc-PPP4R1-2:10". The record is from RNAcentral. Lineage: Eukaryota; Metazoa; Chordata; Mammalia; Primates; Hominidae.
GCGCUUCUCCGCACCGGGAUCCCCAGUCCCUCAGGUUCCGACAGACCCUCCUGUCAGGCCCAUUCUCCGGGCCCCCUCAGUUGCAGUGUUAAGAUCAACAGUGUUAAGAUUAAAGCCUUGUGAUGUGCUAGCCACUACGCUGAGGAUAUGCCGUGUACUAAAAUUCCUCAGGACUCCUCACAGCUGCCCUGUAAGGAAGCGGCCAUGGCCGGGUUCUAGCGAUGCGAGGCCGAGGCUCGGGGCGCUGAGUAGCCUAGCGCGUCGCCGAGGAGAGCUGGCACGUGAACCCCUUGUCGUUUGCCGUCAGAGGUGUUAUGUGGUGGCCCUCAUUCUCCAUGCAUGGAGCAGACUCUAGGAUCUGCAGUUACUGUAUGAUGAGCCCUUCUGAGUAUUUUGCUUGGGUGGACAGUUUAUGUGUCAGGUAUGUGUAUUUAUAAUUAAAAUCAAAUAUUAUUACAUAGGCUUUGCACCUGGCGAGGUAACAUUGAGAGUAGUUAAUCUCUAGACUGGAAUCCAUCUGGAAGACCACUCAAUAACUUGUGAUUAGCUGGACCUGGUGAUGCAAGCCUGGAGUCCCAGUUACCCGGAGGCUGAGGUGGGAAUAUCGCUUGAGACCAGGAGUUUGAGGCUACAGUGAGCUGUGAUUGUACCACUGCACUCCAGCCUGGGUGACAGUGCAAGACCUCAUCUCUUAAAAAAAACAAACAACUCAAAAAACCUCAUCAUUGAGCACCUAUGAUGUGCCAGCAACUGUACUCAGUGGUGGGGACUUGACGACAAACAAACCAGGGAUGGGAUCCUUGAGCAGUCACCAUCUGACAAGUGACUGGGAAAGAUGAAUAAUGCCCUUCACCAAGAUUCUUCUCUGAUCCACAAAUUCAAUUACCAAUUUAUUUGUUCACUGCUCUUAAACUUAAAUAUUUUUUAGUAGGUAAUAAAGACAUGUUUAAACACUCUUAACUUUUAACAAUUUCUUUGUAAGUACUGUAAUAGUCUUCUUUUCCUUUAAAAAGAAAAAAUACAAAAAGAAGGAAAAGGAAAAUCUAUUCAAAAUAAAGUAUUCCAGAUAUCUGACAUUGCUGCAUUGCUGUAUCAUUCAUUAACAUUCACAAAAAAUAAAAUGAGUGCCUUCCGUGUGUGUGCAGGCAUUGUUCUAGGCAAAGAAGAUUUAGCAUUCAACCAAAACUUCUGUUCUCAUGGAACCUACCUACUCGCAGAUCCAAGCCAUGGUAGUUUGUUCAAGAACCUUCAGCUCUUUUCUGCUUUGUUGUCAAAGGCUUCUAAAAUUGGAUCCCCUCCUCCUUAGUUCUUCCUGAUCCCUGACAGGGAUCCUGUGCUUCAGUCAGCCUCCAAUCCCAACCACCACCACCAACAAAAUCACAAGAAGACACCUAGGCUAUUAUUCUUAACCUGUUUCCCAGUUUCUAUUUGUUAACCCCCUCUGGAUUAGGCAUUGUUGUCUUUGAUCUUGACAUGUGCCUCUAUGUGGAGAGUGUAUUUUUGCUCACCAAAUUUUUACUCAUUAAACUUUACUGGUGCUAUGCUUGCUAACUUAUUUCAGAUAAUUAGAGCUUUUGGAUGCUUUCUCCAGGACAAACUGUUCCUUUCCCCAUCCUCAGCCUUCCAUGCUGUUAAUGUACAAAAUCAGAUGAUUUAAACAUAAAUCAUCUUGAACUCUAGAAUGACCUGGUCCCCUUAGCGAAAAACUGUGGGAUUCAACACUACUCCUCAGUGAUGAUGGUAAGGCUACGUGGGCAGUUGUUUAACCAUUAUCCCCAGGUGCCCUCACCCACAGCCAGCCUGCUCAAAGGACUAUUUCCCAUUCCAAUAAUAAUGACAGAGCUAGGAGGGAGGCCAUGACUAAUAAAGACAUAUAAGAUGUUAUUGCAAAUUCUUUUUUCUAUCCAUAUGAAUUAUAAACUAAAAAAUAUUGACAAAUAUCAGCAAUUACAUCGAAAGAAGAAGGUGGUUGUCAAAAAUAAAAACCAUUGUUAUGUUUUAUAAAUGUUAUUGAAGUCCACAGGAAAUACAUUAAUUUGGUGGGUGUAAAAUUGGAAGAAUUUUGAAAAAUGUAUGCAGUGGUGUAACCACAAACACAAUCAGGAUAUUUCCAUCCCUCCAGAGUUGCCUUAUGUUCCUCCUCCCAAUCUGUUUCCUGUCAACUAAUUAUCUGCUGUCUGUCACUGUAAUAUUGCCUGUUCUAGGAAAUUAGAUGAGUGGAAUUUUCUAUUAUGUGGUCUUUUGAGUCUGACUUCUUUCAAUAAUUAUACUGACUUUGAGAUUUAUCCAUAUUGUUGCAUGUAUCAGUAAUUCAUUCAUUUUCAUUGCUAAGUGGUAUUGUAUGAAUACAGUUUAUUUAUCCGUUCAUCAGUUGAUGGACGUUUGGGUUCAUUCCAAUUUUUAACUAUUAUAAAUAAAGUUGCUAUAAACAAUAUGCAAGUCCUUACGUUAACAUAAGUUUUCCUUUCUUCUGGGUAAAUUUCCUGGAGUAGAAAUGCCGGGUCAUAUGGUAAGUAUAUGUUUAAUAUUGUAAGAAACUGUCAAUGAAUUUCCAAAGUGACUGUACCAUUUUACAUUUUAUCAGCAAUGUAUGAGCGUUCCAGUUGCUCCACACUCUCACUGAUGGUUGGUAUUUUCAGUCUUCUUAAUUUUAACCAUUCUAGUGGGUGUAUAGUGGUAUGUCAUUAUGAUUUUAAUUUGCAUUUCCCUAAUGACCAAUGAUGUUGAGCAUCUUUUUAUGUGCUUGUUUGCCAUGUAUACAUCUUUUUAGGUAAAGUAUGUUCAAAUUUUGGCCCAUUUAUUGGUUUUUGUAGUUAUAAGAAUUUAUGUAUUCUGGAAUCAAGUAUUUUAUCAGAUACAUGUUUUAUAAAUAUUUUCUCCCAGUAUGUGGCUUAUAUUUUUUAUUUUCUUAACAGUGUCUUUGAAGAACAUAAAUUUUUAAUUUUAAUGAAGCCCAAUCUGUUAAUUUUUCUUUUACAGUUUGUGCUUUUUCUAUCCCACUUAAGGAAACUUUGUCUAACUUAAUGUCACUAAGAUUUUCUCCUGUUUUCAGCAGGCGCGGUGGCUCAUGCCUGUAAUCCCAGCACUUUGGGAGGCUGAAGUGGGUGGAUCACCUGAGGUCGGGAGUUCGAGACCAGCCUGACCAACAUAGAGAAACCUUGUCUCUACUAAAAACACAAAAUUAGCCAGGCUUGGUGGUACAAGCCUAUAAUCCCAGCUACUCGGGAGGCUUAGGCAGGAGAAUCACUUGAACCUGGGGGGCAGAGGUUGCAGCGAGCCGAGAUUGCGCCAUUGCACUUCAGUCUGGGCAACAAGAGUGAAACUCCAUCUCAAAAAAAACCAAAACAAAACAAAAUUUUCUCCUCUUUUCUUUUCUUUUCCCUCACCUCCCUCCCUCCUUCCCCCCUCCCUCCCUCCCUCUCUCUCUCUCUCUUUCUUUCUUUCUUUUAUCUCAUUCUGUGUUUCAGGCUGGAGUGUUGUGGCCACAAUCUCAGCUCACUGCAACCUCCACCUCCCAGGUUCAAGCGAUUCUUGUGCCUCAGCCUCCCAAAUAGCUGAGAUUAUAGAUGUAUGCCACCGUGCCUGGCUAAUUUUUAUAUUUUUAGUAGGGACGGGAUUUCACAACAUUGGCCUGGCUGGUCUCGAACUCCUGAGCUCAAGCGAUCCACCCACCUUGGCCUCCCAAAAUGCUGGGAUUACAGGCGUGAGCCACCAUUCCCAGCUGUUUCCUGUUUUCUUUUAGAAGCAUUAUUCUUUCAACCCUUACAACUGAUAUCUUGAUCCAUUUUAGGUUAUGUCUCAUAUGUGGUGUAAAGUAAGGGUAAAGGUUUAUAUUUUUGCAUAUGGCUGUUCACUUGUCACAGGACCAUUUACUGAAAGCACUAUCCCUCCCCCCAUUGAAUUUCAUUGGCACUUUUGUUGAAAAUCAGUUGCCUCUACAUAUGUGGGUCCAUUUCUGUAUUUCUAGUCAGUUCCCCUAAUAUAUGUGUCUAUAUUUAUGCCACUACCAUACUCUUGAUUACUGUUGCUUUUAUAGGAAGUCUCAAAAUUAGGUAAUAUAAAUACUCCAACUUUACCCUUUUGCAAAAAUUUUAGGGUAUUCUAGAUUAUUUGCAUUUUCAUAUAAAGUUUAGAAUCACCUUGUCAAAUUCUACAAAAAAAAAAAACCCUGCUGGGAUAUUGAUUUGAUUUGUGUACAGACAACUUUCUAUAUUGAUUGGAAUUGUACAGUCAGACAACUUAUGAUUGACAUAUUAACAAUAUUGAGUCUUUCAAUCCAUGAGUACGGUAUAUCUUUUUUUUUUUUUUUUUGAGACAG